UGAUCAUGGCUCAGAAUCGACGCUGGCGGCGUGCCUCAGACAUGCAAGUCGAACGAUUAAAGCUCCCUUCGGGGAGUGCAUAGAGUGGCGCACGGGUGAGUAACACGUAAGUAAUUUGCCCUCGGGUGGGGAAUAACUUAGGGAAACCUAAGCUAAUACCGCAUAAUGCAGCGGCCCCGUAUGGAGACAGUUGUUAAAGCAUUUAUGCGCCUGAGGAGAAGCUUGCGGCAGAUUAGCUAGUUGGUAAGGUAACGGCUUACCAAGGCGACGAUCUGUAGCCGACCUGAGAGGGUGGUCGGUCACACUGACACUGAAUAACGGGUCAGACUCCUACGGGAGGCAGCAGUCGGGAAUUUUGGGCAAUGGGCGAAAGCCUGACCCAGCAACGCCGCGUGAAGGAUGAAGUCUUUCGGGAUGUAGACUUCGGAAAUAUAGGAAGAAUAAAUGACGGUACUAUAUCUAAGGUCCGGCUAACUACGUGCCAGCAGCCGCGGUAAUACGUAGGGACCAAGCGUUGUUCGGAUUUACUGGGCGUAAAGGGUGCGUAGGCGGCGUGACAAGUCACUUGUGAAAUCUCCGGGCUUAACUCGGAAAGGUCAAGUGAUACUGUCGUGCUAGAGUACAGAAAGGGUAACUGGAAUUCUUGGUGUAGCGGUGAAAUGCGUAGAUAUCAAGAGGAACACCUGAGGCGAAGGCGAGUUACUAGGCUGAUACUGACGCUGAGGCACGAAAGCUAGGGGAGCGAACGGGAUUAGAUACCCCGGUAGUCCUAGCCCUAAACGAUGAUUGCUUGGUGUCUGGAGU
RNAcentral lists this ribosomal RNA (804 nucleotides) under uncultured bacterium. Its description in RNAcentral is "bacterial SSU rRNA". It matches the Rfam family "Bacterial small subunit ribosomal RNA", at positions 14 to 830 of the family's 1533-position model. The record is from RNAcentral.